GUCUGUUAGCCGAUACCUGCAGUCGACGGUGAGCAGGAGCUUGCUCUUGUGGAUCAGUGGCGAACGGGUGAGUAACACGUGAGCAACCUGCCCCUGACUCUGGGAUAAGCGCUGGAAACGGCGUCUAAUACUGGAUAUGUGACGUGACCGCAUGGUCUGCGUUUGGAAAGAUUUUUCGGUUGGGGAUGGGCUCGCGGCCUAUCAGCUUGUUGGUGAGGUAAUGGCUCACCAAGGCGUCGACGGGUAGCCGGCCUGAGAGGGUGACCGGCCACACUGGGACUGAGACACGGCCCAGACUCCUACGGGAGGCAGCAGUGGGGAAUAUUGCACAAUGGGCGAAAGCCUGAUGCAGCAACGCCGCGUGAGGGAUGACGGCCUUCGGGUUGUAAACCUCUUUUAGCAGGGAAGAAGCGAAAGUGACGGUACCUGCAGAAAAAGCGCCGGCUAACUACGUGCCAGCAGCCGCGGUAAUACGUAGGGCGCAAGCGUUAUCCGGAAUUAUUGGGCGUAAAGAGCUCGUAGGCGGUUUGUCGCGUCUGCUGUGAAAUCCCGAGGCUCAACCUCGGGCCUGCAGUGGGUACGGGCAGACUAGAGUGCGGUAGGGGAGAUUGGAAUUCCUGGUGUAGCGGUGGAAUGCGCAGAUAUCAGGAGGAACACCGAUGGCGAAGGCAGAUCUCUGGGCCGUAACUGACGCUGAGGAGCGAAAGGGUGGGGAGCAAACAGGCUUAGAUACCCUGGUAGUCCACCCCGUAAACGUUGGGAACUAGUUGUGGGGUCCAUUCCACGGAUUCCGUGACGCAGCUAACGCAUUAAGUUCCCCGCCUGGGGAGUACGGCCGCAAGGCUAAAACUCAAAGGAAUUGACGGGGACCCGCACAAGCGGCGGAGCAUGCGGAUUAAUUCGAUGCAACGCGAAGAACCUUACCAAGGCU
This 931-nucleotide ribosomal RNA is filed under the name uncultured prokaryote. RNAcentral's name for it is "bacterial SSU rRNA". It matches the Rfam family "Bacterial small subunit ribosomal RNA", at positions 42 to 981 of the family's 1533-position model. The record is from RNAcentral.